GCCCAAAGCCACCAUCUCUUCCAUCUCCCUCAUCAGCACCCCAAUACCACCAAAGUAUUGGUUAUUCUACCACGAUGAGAGAGGAUUGGACAGCCUCUACUUGACCACUGUAGAAUUUCAUGUUGCAACACUUUGCAUCUGUGGCAUUCAGGACCAAGACCUUAGUAGGAGGUGUCUCCUGGGGAAAGAAACUAAGGGACUCAGGAGAGCUGGAAGCUAGCAGAGCAGAGAAAGAAAGCAAGAGCACCAUGUUUCAUAGAAGACAGACAAACUGGAGGCAGUUCAGAAGAGAGGAACAGACAGGAUAAAAAGUUUGGAAAAAUAAGCCCUGUAUAGAAAGAUAAAGGGAAUGGGGCAAGGCAACCCAACUGAAGAGAACAGAAGGCUGAGGAGAGACAAGAUAAAUGUUUACUCACAGGAUUUUGAAGGAUUCCAGCACGGCUUUAUUGACGGUCCCCACUCCUUUUGCCUGCAGCUCAUCCACCAACUGCUUAAAGUGCUAGCAUGAAGUGAGAAACACAUGGAGAUAUGAGAUGCGGACAGAAGGAAGGCAGAAUUCUCAGGACAGGGGAGAGAAGGGUGACACAAGGCCAAAGAAACCCUGUAUUUCAGGGCACAUGACUACUCUAGAUGGCUGGGCAAUCUUCCACUAUAGCUUCUACAGCUGUGAUAGUUAAUAGGCUACUCCAAUAACAGUUCUAUCAUGGGGCACUCAUGUUCGCAUAUGUGCUGUACUAUAAGCUGCUGCACAGCACGUUCACAAAUAACUGCCAGAAAUAGCAGCACUUCUCUUUGGAGAUUUGUCCUUUGCUGAGGGUGAAACACAGGGGAGUUUGGUAAGAAAAGUGGAGAGAAACAUUCUGAUAAUGUUAACUAUGGGGACAAUGUGAGUAUGAGCCACCUCCACAAGAUUGAGAGCGAGAGAAACAAGGGAGAUAUAAUCAGAACUAAAAAUACAUCCCAGCUAGGAGGGAGGUGCAUCUUGCAGCAGUCAGAUGCACAAUGACCACCUUAGGGCUGCAGCUGCUCAUCACUCCCAGAUUAGAAAAGCAGCUAUCAGCAAAGCACACUGAAAAAAUGCUCUACGAAAGGGGGAACCUAGACUGCAGCGUUCAUUGGUGACCAGACAUUUACCGGAAAGGGUUGAAUUCCCACUUUUCUGAGGGCCAAGGAUGUGGAG
Mauremys reevesii (Reeves's turtle) is the source of this 1180-nucleotide long non-coding RNA. RefSeq lists it as uncharacterized. The record is from RefSeq and is a predicted model, not a curated record. NCBI's taxonomy places the organism in Eukaryota, Metazoa, Chordata, Testudines, Geoemydidae. The transcript has 4 exons.